CACGUAGGGCGCAAGCGUUGUCCGGAAUUAUUGGGCGUAAAGAGCUCGUAGGCGGUCUGUUGCGUCCGCUGUGAAAACUCGGGGCUUAACCCCGAGCCUGCAGUGGAUACGGGCAGACUAGAGGUAGGUAGGGGAGAAUGGAAUUCCCGGUGUAGCGGUGAAAUGCGCAGAUAUCGGGAGGAACACCGGUGGCGAAGGCAGCUCGCUGGGACGGUACUGACGCUGAGACGCGAAAGCGUGGGGAGCAAACAGG
RNAcentral lists this ribosomal RNA (253 nucleotides) under uncultured bacterium. RNAcentral describes it as "partial 16S ribosomal RNA". It matches the Rfam family "Bacterial small subunit ribosomal RNA", at positions 524 to 776 of the family's 1533-position model. The record is from RNAcentral.